RNAcentral lists this ribosomal RNA (252 nucleotides) under uncultured bacterium. RNAcentral's name for it is "partial 16S ribosomal RNA". It matches the Rfam family "Bacterial small subunit ribosomal RNA", at positions 524 to 776 of the family's 1533-position model. The record is from RNAcentral.
UACGUAGGAGGCAAGCGUUGUCCGGAUUUACUGGGCGUAAAGCGCCCGCAGGCGGUCAAGCAAGUUCGGAGUGACAGUUCCCGGCUUAACUGGGAAAGUGGUUCGAAACUGUUUGACUUGAGGGCUUGAGAGGAAUGCGGAAUUCCAGGUGGAGCGGUGAAAUGCGUAGAGAUCUGGAGGAACACCAAAGGCGAAGGCAGCAUUCUGGCAAGUACCUGACGCUCAGGGGCGAAAGCUAGGGGAGCGAACAGG